AUGCAGUCAGCCAAUGGUAUACAGAGGGCCAAGGUGCAAGACUUCAAGGCAUCACCUGAGGCUCGAGCAUUAAAUCAUGAAGGACACAAAAAGGAGAAAGAGAACAUCCCUCCGGUGGUAUGUACGGAGAUCAGUAGGAUACAAGACCUGCUCGAAGCUGUAACCAUGGGAAAAAGUCUGGAACAAAAGUUGCUAAGAGCCCUAGGGAAAUUGCCUGUCUGCUCAACUGUACUUGGCCAACCUAAGGCCACAAGUGUUCUAGAAGCAGUAGAAGCAACUGGCCAGGGGAACACUUACAUUUCUCUAAUGUGGAGGAGCGGUACCAUGAAUUCAUGCAUGUUAGUGGGAAGGCAACCAAUGCACUAG
Molecule: ribosomal RNA, 366 nt
Filed under: Triticum aestivum (bread wheat)
Lineage: Eukaryota; Viridiplantae; Streptophyta; Magnoliopsida; Poales; Poaceae
Description: partial small subunit ribosomal RNA
Source: RNAcentral